UACGUAGGUGGCAAGCGUUGUCCGGAAUUAUUGGGCGUAAAGCGCGCGCAGGCGGCUUCUUAAGUCUGAUGUGAAAUCUUGCGGCUCAACCGCAAGCGGCCAUUGGAAACUGGGAAGCUUGAGUACAGAAGAGGAGAGUGGAAUUCCACGUGUAGCGGUGAAAUGCGUAGAUAUGUGGAGGAACACCAGUGGCGAAGGCGACUUUCUGGUCUGUAACUUACGCUGAGGCGCGAAAGCGUGGGGAGCAAACAGG
RNAcentral lists this unclassified non-coding RNA (253 nucleotides) under uncultured Bacillaceae bacterium. Its description in RNAcentral is "contains 16S-23S intergenic spacer region". It matches the Rfam family "Bacterial small subunit ribosomal RNA", at positions 524 to 776 of the family's 1533-position model. Lineage: Bacteria; Bacillati; Bacillota; Bacilli; Caryophanales; Bacillaceae. The record is from RNAcentral.